GAUUUGAUUCAUCUUGCCCGCUCACAGAGCUGGCCAUACAAUAAAAGGCCAUACUGAAGGGAAAACCCCGUAAUCUAUCCCUGUUAAAUUACAUGCGCGUGUUAGCACCGUGUCAGCUUUAAAACCUUGGCUUUCCUUACAUGGGUUUCAAACUUUUGUUUUACAAAGUUUAGUCUAGACCAGUGUAACAGUGAUACAACAUUUUAAAAUCUUUGCUCUACGUCAUGGAUAUUUCUGGCCCACCACGAUGGAUGAAUAUUCGAUGAAUCACUACGCGAUAGUGUAAAGUACAAAGAACAUAUAUUUCUCUGUUCACGAGGGGACGAAUUUGAGGUGAAAUGGAGAUACGAAGCAGCACGAACUACAUUUGGAACAUUAAAGAUGUUCUGGGGCAAGGUGCAACGGGAGCCGUUUACAAGGGAAGACACAAGAAAACUGGCGAUACGUAUGCAGUAAAGAUUUCAAACCAGCUAGGAAUGAUGAGACCGGUAGAGGUGAGGAGAAGAGAAUUUGAAGUCCUUAAUAAGCUGAAUCAUGAGAACAUCGUCAAGUU
Orbicella faveolata is the source of this 553-nucleotide long non-coding RNA. NCBI's taxonomy places the organism in Eukaryota, Metazoa, Cnidaria, Anthozoa, Scleractinia, Merulinidae. The record is from RefSeq and is a predicted model, not a curated record.